CCUACGGGUGGCUGCAGUGAGGAAUAUUGGUCAAUGGGCGGAAGCCUGAACCAGCCAAGUCGCGUGAGGGAUUAAGGCCCUGCGGGUCGUAAACCUCUUUUGCCGGGGAGCAGAGGUCCGGACGUGUCCGGGCCGGGAGAGUACCCGGAGGAAAAGCAUCGGCUAACUCCGUGCCAGCAGCCGCGGUAAGACGGAGGAUGCGAGCGUUAUCCGGAUUUAUUGGGUUGACAGGGUGCGUAGGCGGGCACUUAAGCCGGCGGUCAAAUGUCGGGGCUCAACCCCGGCCUGCCGUCGGAACUGGGUGCAUUGAGUGGGCGAGAAGUAUGCGGAAUGCGUGGUGUAGCGGUGAAAUGCAUAGAUAUCACGCAGAACCCCGAUUGCGAAGGCAGCAUACCGGCGCCCUACUGACGCUGAGGCACGAAAGUGCGGGUAUCGAACAGGAUUAGAUACCCGUGUAGUC
RNAcentral lists this ribosomal RNA (460 nucleotides) under uncultured bacterium. RNAcentral's name for it is "partial 16S ribosomal RNA". It matches the Rfam family "Bacterial small subunit ribosomal RNA", at positions 338 to 795 of the family's 1533-position model. The record is from RNAcentral.